Molecule: long non-coding RNA, 1276 nt
Organism: Poecilia latipinna (sailfin molly)
Lineage: Eukaryota; Metazoa; Chordata; Actinopteri; Cyprinodontiformes; Poeciliidae
Exons: 2
Source: RefSeq, a predicted model, not a curated record
CGUCUUCUUAAUUCAGGAUCGUUUGGAAAUCCAUGAAAACUUAAACGCCCAUUAUAUUAGGAAGACAACAAUGUUCAUAGAAUUGCUUUAUUUGCGUCUGAAAAAUGACUUUAUCUUUUCUAGUUGUCAUGGUAACUCAAAGCGGAAACAAGAAAGCCGCAUUUCGCUCAUUCGGAUGUGACGUCACUGCCGUACGUGCAAAGAGCCCAUUCUGCUUUUUCUUGCUCUGUGUGUGUGAUGGCAUAGAUACUUUGAAAAAGUAACUUUAAUCGGAUUAUUGAUUACUCCUUGAAAUAGGUAUUGGUGUUCUGUUUAUCUGUGCUACCGUAAAUCCGUCCUACCUUGUAUUUCUUAUAAAUGCGUCCUACUAGUCGUGGAAGUAUCGUUUCAUAUGUUUUAUUUCAUCGAAGAUUAUGGUAAGCUUUAUUUAAUUUAGUUUAUACUGGCUUUAAUUCAGCUGCUGGAUUACUUAAUGUUUUUAGUUUACAUGACAGGCAGCAUGUAAAUAUAUUUAUAAAUGGCUUUAGUUUACCGUCUGCAAUUUCGUUACUACUGUCAUUGUUUGGCAGUUAAUCAGGACAAAAUACGUUGUUUUGUGGGCUAUUUUAUCCCUACAUUUUAAAAUAUUUUAGUUUAAUUACACUCUUUUUUUAUUAUUAUUAAACCUUGCUAAAUAGAUAUUGGCACAGAUACUAUAUGUGGGAUUGAAGCUGUGUAAUAGCGGUGUAUUAUUAGUGUAUAUUAAACAUAUCAGGAGCACAGCAACCUGCGCAGCUCGGUGGACACAUUGUGGCUGCGCUGCAUCUCAUAACAGACACAAUGUAUUAAUGCUCAAAAAAGAGUUGCAGUGAUCUGUAUUUGUCUGCGUUUAAUUUAAUUCCAAUAAAAACGUGUUUCCCCUGCCUAAUACCGUUUUUCUUCUUACAAACACCUUUGUAUUUAAAAUAUAUAUUUUCAACAGGUAGGAUAUUCUAGUAAAAGGUUUAGUCUAUAGCGUUUCAUUUUAAACGGGUAGGAUAUUCAGAUGAAGGAAGUGAUCUUCUUGUGGUUUCGUCGUGUAUAUAAACUGUUCCAGUGCUAUGCUAAGCAUCCUAAGCUUCCGCUUCAGUCCCAUCACUCAAAUAAUGUUAUCAUUUGACAUUAACAACCCGCUAUAGUUUUCUGUUUGUAAACAUGACAGUAGCAGUUUUGGACACGUAGCACUGACAGAUAGACUUAGCUAUCUAUCCGUGCUACGGUAGGAAAAUCUGACGAGGUAGCACUGAUAGUCAGAACA